This is a long non-coding RNA of Nanorana parkeri, 266 nucleotides long. RefSeq lists it as uncharacterized. The transcript has 3 exons. NCBI's taxonomy places the organism in Eukaryota, Metazoa, Chordata, Amphibia, Anura, Dicroglossidae. The record is from RefSeq and is a predicted model, not a curated record.
UUGUAUGUCAUUUAUUAAUCAUUAUAAAGGUCGGAGUUUGUACAGCACUUUGGAUAGCAAUAAAAGACAACGUCAGUACUAAGCAGCUGCCCCUGAACUUCAGUAUAACGAUUUAGGAGUCUACUCUCAAUUAUAGAAGCAAGUUUCAGUACUGACGUUGUGCUUUUAAAAGGUGAAGUACAUAGCACAAGUAUACAUGACAUACUCUACAUUGGUCCUCAUUAGGUAUAAUACACAUUUUCAGUUUUUUAGUUAUUUAUUUUGAA